AUACUGAGGGUGCAAGCGUUAAUCGGAAUUACUGGGCGUAAAGCGCGCGUAGGCGGUUUAUCAAGUCAGAUGUGAAAGCCCUGGGCUCAACCUGGGAACUGCAUUUGAAACUGAUAAACUAGAGUUUGGUAGAGGGUGACGGAAUUCCAGGUGUAGCGGUGAAAUGCGUAGAUAUCUGGAGGAACAUCAGUGGCGAAGGCGGUUGCCUGGACCAAAACUGACGCUGAGGUGCGAAAGCGUGGGGAGCAAACGGGAUUAGAUACCCCAGUAGUCC
RNAcentral lists this ribosomal RNA (274 nucleotides) under uncultured bacterium. Its description in RNAcentral is "partial 16S ribosomal RNA". It matches the Rfam family "Bacterial small subunit ribosomal RNA", at positions 523 to 796 of the family's 1533-position model. The record is from RNAcentral.